This 429-nucleotide ribosomal RNA is filed under the name Triticum aestivum (bread wheat). RNAcentral describes it as "partial small subunit ribosomal RNA". Lineage: Eukaryota; Viridiplantae; Streptophyta; Magnoliopsida; Poales; Poaceae. The record is from RNAcentral.
AUGCCGUGCGCGCGACGAGCAGCGGCGGUCGCGGAGGCGAGGAGGUCACGGAGUACCUGCGUGGUUGCGCAGAGGCCGCGGCAGCUCGGCGCGACGGCACGGAGACACGGCACGACGGCGCACAGAGCUGCGGGUUUCGGCAGCAACAGCGAGUGGCACUCGACGGGGCGCAGCGCGGCGGUAGCUGCAUCGGCGGCGGUGCACGACAGCGGCCGGCGAGGUGGCCUUGUUGCACGGCAUCUGCGGCGGCUCGUGCUGAAAGCACACGGUGGCAUCGGGCGGCAGCAACCAUGGCGACGAGCUUGUCGCUUCGGGCGCGUGUAUGGGCGCCCGCCGAGUGCGCUGGGCGCGUCGGGUCCACGGUGGAUCGUGCGUGUGGUGUGCACGGGCGUGUCCGUGCACGAGUGCAGCUUGUGUGCGUUCUGUUGA